RNAcentral lists this ribosomal RNA (425 nucleotides) under uncultured bacterium. Its description in RNAcentral is "partial 16S ribosomal RNA". It matches the Rfam family "Bacterial small subunit ribosomal RNA", at positions 354 to 796 of the family's 1533-position model. The record is from RNAcentral.
GUGGGGAAUCUUAGACAAUGGGGGAAACCCUGAUCUAGCCAUGCCGCGUGAGCGAUGAAGGCCUUAGGGUUGUAAAGCUCUUUCAGCUGGGAAGAUAAUGACUGUACCAGCAGAAGAAGCCCCGGCUAACUCCGUGCCAGCAGCCGCGGUAAUAAGGAGGGGGCUAGCGUUGUUCGGAAUUACUGGGCGUAAAGCGCACGUAGGCGGACCGGAAAGUCAGAGGUGAAAUCACAGGGCUCAACCUGGGAACUGCCUUUGAAACUCCUGGUCUUGAGGUCGAGAGAGGUGAGUGGAAUUCCGAGUGUAGAGGUGAAAUUCGUAGAUAUUCGUAGGAACACCAGUGGCGAAGGCGGCUCACUGGCUCGAUACUGACGCUGAGGUGCGAAAGCGUGGGGAGCAAACAGGAUUAGAAACCCCAGUAGUCC